GCUAACCCCCGAGGCUACAGAUUUGCGCACCGCCGCUCUCUUUUUCUGAACUUCUCGCGCUGGGCGCUGCCUCUCGCAGCGGAGCCGCCUUUAUGCCAGUGCUCAUGACGAAGCGCCGGGAUCAGCCGUCCGAAUGAGCAAUUUGGGAAACCAGCUCUGAACGGGAAGAAAAUAUUCGAGCAGCCCAACAGAUCGAUAGCGUCUGAGCGUGUUAACAGAGCGGCCCUAGGAGCCAUUUGCAUUUCCCACCAGCUGCUCACUUGGGCUGCAGAGGGGUAAUGCGGGUGAGAGCGGGGCCGGGCUGCACCCCGUGGGGCUGCGCACCCGCGCAACUCCCCUUUAUACCCUGGGAAACGCCGGCUGGGAGCCGGGAGCGCUCCCUCUCCUUCCUCGGAUGCGCCGGGAAAAGUGGGUUUCACCCGGCUCAGCGGUCCCGAGGGCAGAGCGGAUAUCCGAGGGCUCGCUCCGUCCGUGUGUUUCUCCAUAGAACCCCACUUUCCUGCGAGGGGCACACGGCAACCGCAGCCACCACCCCUCUGCGCUGCGCUGCGCGGGGCCGGGAAGCAGAGAGCUCCAAAGCACCGCGGCUUAAAUCUUUGCAAAACAGUCACCGGGUGCUGCCCUCGAAUUGAGAAAAUGUGUUAAAAAUAAUAAUAAUAAAAUAAAAAAGUGUCAUUUCUAUUUUUGUUCUUUUCUUUUUUU
Coturnix japonica (Japanese quail) is the source of this 702-nucleotide non-coding RNA. The record is from RefSeq and is a predicted model, not a curated record. Lineage: Eukaryota; Metazoa; Chordata; Aves; Galliformes; Phasianidae.